Molecule: ribosomal RNA, 468 nt
Filed under: uncultured bacterium
Lineage: Bacteria
Description: partial 16S ribosomal RNA
Rfam family: Bacterial small subunit ribosomal RNA
Source: RNAcentral
GACGAACGCUGGCGGCGUGCUUAACACAUGCAAGUCGAACGGAAAGACCCUGCUUUUGUGGGGUGCUCGAGUGGCGAACGGGUGAGUAACACGUGAGUAACCUGCCCUUGACUGUGGGAUAACUUUAGGAAACUGGGGCUAAUAUCCGGUAGAAUAUCCUGCUGCAUGGUGUGGGUUAGUAAGUUUCGGUGGUGCUGGCAGGGAUGGCGGGUUAUGCGCUUGUUGGUGGAGUAGUUGCUUACAAAGGUUUCGACGGGUAGCCGGCCUGAGAGGGUGACCGGCCACAUUGGGCCUGAGGGACGGCCCAGAAUCCAACGGGCGGCAGCGGGGGAGAAUAUUGCGGAGUGGGCGGAAGCCUGAUGCAGCAACGCCGGGUGCGGGAUGCCGGCCUUCGGGUUGUAAACCGCUUUCGACGGUGCCGAAGCGUGAGUGACGGUAAUGGGUAAGGAAGCACCGGCUAACUACGUG